This 468-nucleotide ribosomal RNA is filed under the name uncultured bacterium. RNAcentral's name for it is "partial 16S ribosomal RNA". It matches the Rfam family "Bacterial small subunit ribosomal RNA", at positions 28 to 507 of the family's 1533-position model. The record is from RNAcentral.
GACGAACGCUGGCGGCGUGCUUAACACAUGCAAGUCGAACGGAAAGGCCCUGCUUUUGUGGGGUGCUCGAGUGGCGAACGGGUGAGUAACACGUGAGUAACCUGCCCUUGACUUUGGGAUAACUUCAGGAAACUGGGGCUAAUACCGGAUAGGAGCUCCUGCUGCAUGGUGGGGGUUGGAACGUUUCGGCGGUUGGGGAUGGACUCGCGGCUUAUCAGCUUGUUGGUGGGGUAGUGGCUUACCAAGGAUUUGACGGGUAGCCGGCCUGAGAGGGUGACCGGCCACAUUGGGACUGAGAGACGGCCCAGACGCCUACGGGAGGCAGCAGGGGGGAGUAUUGCACAAUGGGCGGAAGCCUGAUGCAGCAACGCCGCGUGCGGGAUGACGGCCUUCGGGUUGUAAACCGCUGUCGCCUGUGACGAAGCGUGAGUGACGGUAAUGGGUAAAGAAGCACCGGCUAACUACGUG